RNAcentral lists this ribosomal RNA (253 nucleotides) under uncultured bacterium. RNAcentral describes it as "partial 16S ribosomal RNA". It matches the Rfam family "Bacterial small subunit ribosomal RNA", at positions 524 to 776 of the family's 1533-position model. The record is from RNAcentral.
UACGUAGGCAGCGAGCGUUGUUCGGAGUUACUGGGCGUAAAGAGUGCGUAGGCGGUUUUCUAAGUUUGGUGUGAAAUCUCCCGGCUUAACUGGGAGGGUGCGCCGAAGACUGGAAGGCUUGAGUAUGGGAGAGGUAAGCGGAAUUCCAGGUGUAGCGGUGAAAUGCGUAGAUAUCUGGAGGAACACCGGUGGCGAAGGCGGCAUUCUGGACCGAUAUUGACGCUGAGGAGCGAAAGCCAGGGGAGCAAACGGG